This 589-nucleotide small RNA is filed under the name Pan troglodytes (chimpanzee). Its description in RNAcentral is "retained intron". Lineage: Eukaryota; Metazoa; Chordata; Mammalia; Primates; Hominidae. The record is from RNAcentral.
ACUGCACCCGGCCAACAGGCAGCAUUUCUUGAGCACUUACUGUGCCCGGGUACGGUUCCAAGCACUUUGUCAACUUGUUUAAUCCUUAUGACAACCCAUCGUUCAGCCCUGUCGUGUGGAUCAGGAAACAGUCCAGAGUGGAGGAGGGAGGAGACUGCACAGGGGGUCGCUGGGGCUGGACCGCAGGAGUCUCCAUCCCGCUUCUGCAGGUGGAUAGUGACAAGGGCAUCUCCCUUCGCUUCCCUCGGUUUAUUCGAGUCCGUGAAGACAAACAGCCGGAGCAGGCCACCACCAGUGCCCAGGUGGCCUGUUUGUACCGGAAGCAAAGUCAGAUUCAGAACCAACAAGGCGAGGACUCAGGCUCUGACCCUGAAGAUACCUACUAAGCCCUCGCCCUCCUAGGGCCUGGGUACAGGGCAUGAGUUGGACGGACCCCAGGGUUAUUAUUGCCUUUGCUUUUUAGCAAAUCUUCUGUGGCAGGCUAUGGUUUUUGAAAGUCAGGGGAGGGGUGUGUGUGUGAGGGGGUGGCUUACUUCGGAGUCUGGGAUUCAUCCCAUCAUUUCUUUCAAUAAAUAAUUAUCGGAUAGCU